Molecule: small nucleolar RNA, 67 nt
Organism: Cairina moschata (Muscovy duck)
Lineage: Eukaryota; Metazoa; Chordata; Aves; Anseriformes; Anatidae
Gene: SNORD58
Rfam family: Small nucleolar RNA SNORD58
About the family: snoRNA U58 is found in introns 1, 3 and 6 of the ribosomal protein RPL17 gene in humans.
Source: Ensembl
UUGCUGUGAUGACUUUCUUAGGACACCUUUGGAUUCAACAUGAAAAGAAAUUCUUAUUCUGAGCAAU